GUAGGUGGCAAGCGUUGUCCGGAAUUAUUGGGCGUAAAGCGCGCGCAGGUGGUUCUUUAAGUCUGAUGUGAAAGCCCCCGGCUCAACCGGGGAGGGUCAUUGGACACUGGGGAACUUGAGUGCAGGAGAGGAAAGUGGAAUUCCACGUGUAGCGGUGAAAUGCGUAGAUAUGUGGAGGAACACCAGUGGCGAAGGCGACUUUCUGGCCUGUAACUGACACUGAGGCGCGAAAGCGUGGGGAGCAAACAGGGAUUAGAUACCCUGGUAGUCCACGCCGUAAACGAUGAGUGCUAAGUGUUGGGGGGGUUUCCCGCCCCUCAGUGCUGCAGCUAACGCAUUAAGCACUCCGCCUGGGGAUACGGUCGCAAGACUG
Molecule: ribosomal RNA, 373 nt
Filed under: uncultured organism
Description: partial 16S ribosomal RNA
Rfam family: Bacterial small subunit ribosomal RNA
Source: RNAcentral